RNAcentral lists this ribosomal RNA (1369 nucleotides) under uncultured bacterium. RNAcentral describes it as "bacterial SSU rRNA". It matches the Rfam family "Bacterial small subunit ribosomal RNA", at positions 28 to 1381 of the family's 1533-position model. The record is from RNAcentral.
GACGAACGCUGGCGGCGUGCCUAAUACAUGCAAGUAGAACGCUGAAGAGAGGAGCUUGCUCUUCUUGGAUGAGUUGCGAACGGGUGAGUAACGCGUAGGUAACCUGCCUUGUAGCGGGGGAUAACUAUUGGAAACGAUAGCUAAUACCGCAUAACAAUGGAUGACACAUGUCAUUUAUUUGAAAGGGGCAAUUGCUCCACUACAAGAUGGACCUGCGUUGUAUUAGCUAGUAGGUGAGGUAAUGGCUCACCUAGGCGACGAUACAUAGCCGACCUGAGAGGGUGAUCGGCCACACUGGGACUGAGACACGGCCCAGACUCCUACGGGAGGCAGCAGUAGGGAAUCUUCGGCAAUGGGGGCAACCCUGACCGAGCAACGCCGCGUGAGUGAAGAAGGUUUUCGGAUCGUAAAGCUCUGUUGUAAGUCAAGAACGGGUGUGAGAGUGGAAAGUUCACACUGUGACGGUAGCUUACCAGAAAGGGACGGCUAACUACGUGCCAGCAGCCGCGGUAAUACGUAGGUCCCGAGCGUUGUCCGGAUUUAUUGGGCGUAAAGCGAGCGCAGGCGGUUUGAUAAGUCUGAAGUUAAAGGCUGUGGCUCAACCAUAGUUCGCUUUGGAAACUGUCAAACUUGAGUGCAGAAGGGGAGAGUGGAAUUCCAUGUGUAGCGGUGAAAUGCGUAGAUAUAUGGAGGAACACCGGUGGCGAAAGCGGCUCUCUGGUCUGUAACUGACGCUGAGGCUCGAAAGCGUGGGGAGCGAACAGGAUUAGAUACCCUGGUAGUCCACGCCGUAAACGAUGAGUGCUAGGUGUUGGAUCCUUUCCGGGAUUCAGUGCCGCAGCUAACGCAUUAAGCACUCCGCCUGGGGAGUACGACCGCAAGGUUGAAACUCAAAGGAAUUGACGGGGGCCCGCACAAGCGGUGGAGCAUGUGGUUUAAUUCGAAGCAACGCGAAGAACCUUACCAGGUCUUGACAUCCCGAUGCUAUUUCUAGAGAUAGAAAGUUACUUCGGUACAUCAGUGACAGGUGGUGCAUGGUUGUCGUCAGCUCGUGUCGUGAGAUGUUGGGUUAAGUCCCGCAACGAGCGCAACCCCUAUUGUUAGUUGCCAUCAUUCAGUUGGGCACUCUAGCGAGACUGCCGGUAAUAAACCGGAGGAAGGUGGGGAUGACGUCAAAUCAUCAUGCCCCUUAUGACCUGGGCUACACACGUGCUACAAUGGUUGGUACAACGAGUUGCGAGUCGGUGACGGCGAGCUAAUCUCUUAAAGCCAAUCUCAGUUCGGAUUGUAGGCUGCAACUCGCCUACAUGAAGUCGGAAUCGCUAGUAAUCGCGGAUCAGCACGCCGCGGUGAAUACGUUCCCGGGCCU